UACGAGGGGGGCAAAUGUUGUUCGGAAUCACUGGGCGUAAAGGGAGCGUAGGUGGUUCGUUAAGUCUGAUGUGAAAGCCCUGGGCUCAACCUGGGAAUGGCAUUGGAUACUGGCGGACUGGAGUGCGGUAGAGGAUGGCGGAAUUCCCGGUGUAGCAGUGAAAUGCGUAGAGAUCGGGAGGAACAUCUGUGGCGAAGGCGGCCAUCUGGACCAGCACUGACACUGAGGCACGAAAGCGUGGGGAGCAAACAGG
RNAcentral lists this ribosomal RNA (253 nucleotides) under uncultured bacterium. Its description in RNAcentral is "partial 16S ribosomal RNA". It matches the Rfam family "Bacterial small subunit ribosomal RNA", at positions 524 to 776 of the family's 1533-position model. The record is from RNAcentral.